CCGGAUUUUUCCUGGAUUUUGUUCCCAGAUUUUUCCCGGAUUUUUCCCAAAUUUCUCCUAGAUUUUGCUCCCAGAUUUUUCGUGGAUUUUUUCCUGGAUUUUGUUUCCGGAUAUUUCCCAGAUUUUUCGCUGAUUUUUUCUUGAUUUUUCUGGGAUUAUUCCCGGAUUUUUCCUGGGUUUUUCCCGGAUUUUGUUCCCGGAUAUUUCCCAGAUUUUUCACUGAUUUUUUCUUGAUUUUUCUGGGAUUAUUCCUGGAUUUUUCCUGGAUUUUGUUCCCUGAUUUUUCCUGGGUUUUUCCCGGAUUUUGUUCCCGGAUAUUUCCCAGAUUUUUCGCGGAUUUUUUUCUGGAUUUUUCCAGGAUUAUUCCUGGAUUUUGUUCCCAGAUAUUUCGUGGAUUUUUUCCUGGAUUUUGUUUCCGGAUAUUUCCCAGAUUUUUCGCGGAUUUUUUCUGGUUUUUUUCCAGGAUUAUUCCCGGAUUUUUCCUGGAUAUUUUUCCCAGAUUUUUCCCGGAUUUUUCCUGGAUUUUGUUCCCAGAUUUUUCCUGGAUUUUUCCAGGAUUUUCCAUGGAUUUUGUUCCCAGAUUUUUCCUAGAUUUUGUUCUCGGAUUUUUGCCAGAUCUUUCAUGGAUUUGGUUCCUAGAUAUUUCCUGGGGUUUUCACGGAUUUUUCACUGAUUUUUCCUGGAUUUUUGUUCCCGGAUAUUUCCCAGAUUUUUCGCGGACUUUUUCUGGAUUUUUUUCCAGGAUUAUUCCCGGAUUUUUCCUGGAUUUUGUUCCCAGGUUUUUCGUGGAUUCUUUCCUGGAUUUUGUUUCCGGAUAUUUCCCAGAUUUUUCGCGGAUUUUUUUCUGGAUUUUUCCAGGAUUAUUCCCAGAUUUUUCCUGGAUUUUUCCCAGGUUUUUCCUGGAUUUUUCCCAAAUUUCUCCUAGAUUUUUCUCCCAGAUUUUUCCUGGAUUUUUCCUGGAUUUUUUGUUCCCGGAUAUUUCCCAGAUUUUUCGUGGAUUUUUCCUGGAUUUUUAUUCCCGGAUAUUUCCCAGAUUUCUCACUGAUUUUUUCUUGAUUUUUCCAGGAUUAUUCCUGGAUUUUUCCUGGAUUUUGCCCCCAGAUUUUUCGUGGGUUUUUCCUGGAUUUUUGUUCCCGGAUAUUUCCCAGAUUUUUCACGGAUUUUUUCUGGAUUUUUUCCAGGAUUAUUCCUGGAUUUUGUUCCCAGAUAUUUCGUGGGUUUUUCCUGGAUUUUGUUCCUGGAUAUUUCCCAGAUUUUUCACUGAUUUUUUCUUGAUUUUUCUGGGAUUAUUCCCGGAUUUUUCCUGGAUUUUGUUCCCGGAUAUUUCCCAGAUUUUUCACUAAUUUUUUCUGGAUUUUUCCAGGAUUAUUCCCAGAUUUUUCCUGGAUAUUGUUCCCAGAUUUUUCCCGGAUUUUUCCAGGAUUAUUCCCGGAUUUUUCCUGGAUAUUUUCCCAGAUUUUUCCCAGAUUUUUCCCAAAUUUUCCCCGUGUUUUGUGCCCAGGUACUUCCAGAGCAUUUACGACACGGCCGAGAGCCUCGGGCUGCGCUAUCCCGA
RNAcentral lists this long non-coding RNA (1555 nucleotides) under Zonotrichia albicollis (white-throated sparrow). Its description in RNAcentral is "lncRNA (ENSZALG00000007492.1)". Lineage: Eukaryota; Metazoa; Chordata; Aves; Passeriformes; Passerellidae. The record is from RNAcentral.